AUUACAUGUUAUUUCAGUGAGAUACAAGAGAAAGAAGUAGGUUGUGGCUACACCUGGCAAUUCUGACAGCACAAUCUUUAGCGCCACUAGAUACACCUGAGGAGUUUCUUGGUUGUCUGCUCUAGGAGAACAUUCACACAACUCAGCAUCAGGUGACAGAGGAAUGUGAGAUGGUCUCAAUCCGCCCCUGUGACGCUUCCCACCUCAGCUACCAGAGGCAUGGAGCUACGGGAACAGCUCUCCAGCUGCUUGUUCUGUGCCAUACUCCUAGCAACAAUUCCCUUUUCAGAAAGCCUUGAGAAGAGCACUGAAAAAAUGGUUGAGGCUCACUUAGUCCUACAAAACAAGAUUCUCAUAGGCACGGUUGUUGUCCUCAUUGUUGUCAUCGUUAUCAUCGUUAUCAUCUUAAGUUGUCGUUGUUCAAGAAAAAGAAGGCGAGAUCCUGAAGAAGGUAACAAAAUUUUGCCAAGUAAUACACACAAACACACACACACAAACACAAAAGAUAAGCAGAAAAAAUACUAUUUGUGGUGAGUAUUAAUUUCCCAGACAAAUAUGUAACCAGUGA
This 568-nucleotide long non-coding RNA is filed under the name Chrysemys picta bellii (western painted turtle). RNAcentral's name for it is "lncRNA (ENSCPBG00000022247.1)". Lineage: Eukaryota; Metazoa; Chordata; Testudines; Emydidae. The record is from RNAcentral.